RNAcentral lists this microRNA precursor (102 nucleotides) under Marmota monax (woodchuck). The record is from RNAcentral. Lineage: Eukaryota; Metazoa; Chordata; Mammalia; Rodentia; Sciuridae.
AUAAGAGUCACCUGGAAAUCUUGUUAAAAUGCUGAAUAUGAAUUAAUACUCAGGGAAGUACCUGGGACAUUGCAUUUUAAUAAGUUUUCAGGUGAUAGGUGA